UUUUCUCCGAGAAUCUGCGAG
Molecule: non-coding RNA, 21 nt
Organism: Caenorhabditis elegans
Lineage: Eukaryota; Metazoa; Nematoda; Chromadorea; Rhabditida; Rhabditidae
Source: Ensembl